Molecule: ribosomal RNA, 312 nt
Filed under: Triatoma vitticeps
Lineage: Eukaryota; Metazoa; Arthropoda; Insecta; Hemiptera; Reduviidae
Description: partial 16S ribosomal RNA
Source: RNAcentral
UCCUUUUGUUAUUUAUUUAAGGUCUAACCUGCCCAAUGAGGAAUUGAAUGGCCGCAGUAUUUUAACUGUGCUAAGGUAGCAUAAUCAUUUGUCUUUUAAUUGAGGGCUGGAAUGAAGGGUUGGACGAAGUAUUAUCUUUCUUUGAUUUAAUUGUAGGAAUUUAAUUUUUGAGUUAAAAAGCUUAAAUUUAUUUAUUGGACGAGAAGACCCUAUAGAUCUUUAUAAUUUUAUAUUUUGGUAAUUUAGUGAUUUUUUUAUUUGAAGUAAAUGGAUUAUUUUGUUGGGGUGACUGUAGAAUUUGAAUAACUUCUA